GGCGCGGUAGCUCAGUCGGUAGAGCGUCCGCCUGAAAAGUGGAAGGUCACCAGUCGAUCCUGGUUCGUGCCA
RNAcentral lists this transfer RNA (72 nucleotides) under Corynebacterium pseudotuberculosis. RNAcentral's name for it is "tRNA-Phe". It matches the Rfam family "tRNA". Rfam says of the family: Transfer RNA (tRNA) molecules are approximately 80 nucleotides in length. Their secondary structure includes four short double-helical elements and three loops (D, anti-codon, and T loops). Lineage: Bacteria; Bacillati; Actinomycetota; Actinomycetes; Mycobacteriales; Corynebacteriaceae. The record is from RNAcentral.